UCAAGUUAUUAAGGGUGCAGGGCGGAUGCCUUGGCACUAGGAGCCGAUGAAGGACGUGAUAAGCUGCGAUAAGCUUCGGGGAGUUGCACGUAAACUUUGAUCCGAAGAUUUCCGAAUGAGGAAACUCACUUAGAGUAAUGUCUAAGUAUCAUUAAGUGAAUACAUAGCUUAAUGAGGGGAACUCAGGGAACUGAAACAUCUAAGUACUGAAGGAAGAGAAAGAAAUUCGAUUCCGUAAGUAGCGGGCGAGCGAACGCGGAUUAGCCCAAACCAAUAAAGUUUUCUUUAUUGGGUUGCGGACAUAUCAUAACGAAGAGGUAUCGUAAUUGAAGAGGUUUGGAAAGACCCACCACAGAAGGUAAUAGUCCUGUAUGUUAAACGAGAAGACUUCAGAUAUGAUCCAGAGUACCACGGGACACGUGAAACCCUGUGGGAAGCAGGAGGGACCACCCUCCAAGGCUAAAUACUACCUAGUGACCGAUAGCGUAUAGUACCGUGAGGGAAAGGUGAAAAGAACCCCGGGAGGGGAGUGAAAUAGAACCUGAAACCCUGCACUUACAAGCUGUGGAAGCACAUUUCUUGUGUGACCGCGUACUUUUUGUAGAACGGGCCAACGAGUUACGUUAAGUAGCAAGGUUAAGCACUUAAGGUGUGGAGCCGUAGCGAAAGCGAGUUUUAACUGAGCGUUCAGUUACUUGACGUAGACCCGAAACCGGGCGACCUACCCAUGAGCAGGAUGAAGCGAAAGUAAAAUUUCGUGGAGGUCCGAACCCACGAGCGUUGAAAAGCUCGGGGAUGACUUGUGGGUAGCGGUGAAAUUCCAAUCGAGCCCGGAGAUAGCUGGUUCUCCCCGAAAUAGCUUUAGGGCUAGCCUCAAGGUGAGAGAUACGGAGGUAGAGCACUGAAUGUCCUAGGGGGUAUUGCACCUACCGAAGACUAUCAAACUCCGAAUGCCGUCAUCUUAUACUUGGGAGUCAGACUGUGGGUGAUAAGAUUCAUAGUCGAAAGGGCAACAGCCCAGAUCGUCAGCUAAGGUCCCUAAAUGUAAGUUAAGUGGUAAAGGAUGUGGGAUUGCACAGACAACCAGGAUGUUGGCUUAGAAGCAGCCACUCAUUCAAAGAGUGCGUAAUAGCUCACUGGUCGAGUGAUCCUGCGCCGAAGAUUUCCGGGGCUAAAACUUACUACCGAAGCUACGGCAUCAGUAAUGAUGGGUAGGGGAGCUUCCCAUACGGGUUGAAGCAUGACCGUAAGGACAUGUGGACAGUAUGGGAGUGAGAAUGUUGGCAUGAGUAGCGAGAUGUGGGUGAGAAUCCCACAGGCCGUAAACCCAAGGUUUCCAGGGGAAGGUUCGUCCGCCCUGGGUUAGUCGGGACCUAAGCUGAGGCCGAAAGGCGUAGGUGAUGGACAACAGGUUGAUAUUCCUGUACUACCGAUAACCGUUUGAGAGAAGGGAUGACACAGUAGGAUAAGCUAAGCACACUGUUGGUUAUGUGUGCCCAAGCAUUGAGGCAGUCAAAGUAGGCAAAUCCGCUUUGAUAAUGCUGGGAUGUGAUGGGAGCGAAAUUUAGUAGCGAAGUAGCUGAUUUCACACUGUCAAGAAAAGUCUCUAUCGAGGUUAAAGGUACCCGUACCGCAAACCGACACAGGUGGGUGAGGAGAGUAUCCUAAGGCCAGCGAGAGAACUGUUGUUAAGGAACUCGGCAAAAUGACCCCGUAACUUAGGGAUAAGGGGUGCCACCAUCAGGUGGCCGCAGAGAAUAGGCCCAAGCGACUGUUUACCAAAAACAUAGGUUUCUGCUAAGUCGCAAGACGAUGUAUAGGAGCUGACGCCUGCCCGGUGCUGGAAGGUUAAGGGGAUCUGUUAGAGCAAUCGAAGCAGUGAACUUAAGCCCCAGUAAACGGCGGCCGUAACUAUAACGGUCCUAAGGUAGCGAAAUUCCUUGUCGGGUAAGUUCCGACCCGCACGAAAGGCGUAACGAUUUGGGCACUGUCUCAACAACAGACUCGGUGAAAUUGUAAUUCCGGUGAAGAUGCCGGAUACCUGCGACAGGACGGAAAGACCCCAUGGAGCUUUACUGUAGCUUGACAUUGGGUUUUGGUACUACAUGUACAGGAUAGGUGGGAGGCUUUGAAACCAGGACGCCAGUUUUGGCGGAGCCAUCCUUGGGAUACCACCCUUGUAGUACUGGGACUCUAACCAUAGGCCAUGAAUCUGGUCUUGGGACACUGUCAGGUGGGCAGUUUGACUGGGGCGGUCGCCUCCAAAAGGUAACGGAGGCGCUCAAAGGUUCUCUCAGUACGGUCGGAAAUCGUACGUAGAGUGUAAAGGCAAAAGAGAGCUUGAUUGCAAGACAUACAGGUCGAGCAAGGAUGAAAAUCGGACUUAGUGAUCCGGUGGUUCUGCGUGGAAGGGCCAUCGCUCAACGGAUAAA
This 2432-nucleotide ribosomal RNA is filed under the name Clostridioides difficile. RNAcentral's name for it is "bacterial LSU rRNA". It matches the Rfam family "Bacterial large subunit ribosomal RNA", at positions 3 to 2460 of the family's 2925-position model. The record is from RNAcentral. Lineage: Bacteria; Bacillati; Bacillota; Clostridia; Peptostreptococcales; Peptostreptococcaceae.